Rattus norvegicus (Norway rat) is the source of this 69-nucleotide non-coding RNA. The record is from Rfam. NCBI's taxonomy places the organism in Eukaryota, Metazoa, Chordata, Mammalia, Rodentia, Muridae.
GGGGAUUUAGCUCAGCGGUAGAGCGCUUGCCUAGCAAGCACAAGGCCCUGGGUUCGGUUCCCAGCUCCG